UACAGAGGGUGCAAGCGUUAAUCGGAUUUACUGGGCGUAAAGCGUGUGUAGGUGGCUGUUCAAGUCGGUUGUGAAAGCCCUGGGCUCAACCUAGGAAUUGCUUCCGAGACUGAGCGGCUAGAGUACGGUAGAGGGCGGUGGAAUUUCCGGUGUAGCGGUGAAAUGCGUAGAUAUCGGAAGGAACACCAAUGGCGAAGGCAGCCGCCUGGGCCUGUACUGACACUGAGACACGAAAGCGUGGGGAUCAAACAGG
RNAcentral lists this unclassified non-coding RNA (253 nucleotides) under uncultured Salinisphaerales bacterium. RNAcentral describes it as "contains 16S-23S intergenic spacer region". It matches the Rfam family "Bacterial small subunit ribosomal RNA", at positions 524 to 776 of the family's 1533-position model. The record is from RNAcentral. Lineage: Bacteria; Pseudomonadati; Pseudomonadota; Gammaproteobacteria; Salinisphaerales.